AGAUUGAACGCUAGCGGGAUGCUUUACACAUGCAAGUCGAACGGCAGCGCGGACUUCGGUCUGGCGGCGAGUGGCGAACGGGUGAGUAAUAUAUCGGAACGUGCCCAGUAGCGGGGGAUAACUACGCGAAAGCGUGGCUAAUACCGCAUACGCCCUACGGGGGAAAGGGGGGGAUUCUUCGGAACCUCUCACUAUUGGAGCGGCCGAUAUCAGAUUAGCUAGUUGGUGAGGUAAAGGCUCACCAAGGCGACGAUCUGUAGCUGGUUUGAGAGGACGACCAGCCACACUGGGACUGAGACACGGCCCAGACUCCUACGGGAGGCAGCAGUGGGAAUUUGGACAAGUGGGGAAACCCUGAUCCAGCCAGUCCCGCGUGUGCGAUGAAGGCCGUUCGGGUUAGUAAGCGUACUUUUUGGCGAGGGUAAGAAACGGCGUACCUUAAGUACGGGUCGUCGACUUGACGUACCGUGCGAAGUAUAAGCACCGGCUAACUACGU
This 497-nucleotide ribosomal RNA is filed under the name uncultured soil bacterium. Its description in RNAcentral is "bacterial SSU rRNA". It matches the Rfam family "Bacterial small subunit ribosomal RNA", at positions 26 to 506 of the family's 1533-position model. The record is from RNAcentral.